RNAcentral lists this ribosomal RNA (1376 nucleotides) under uncultured bacterium. Its description in RNAcentral is "bacterial SSU rRNA". It matches the Rfam family "Bacterial small subunit ribosomal RNA". The record is from RNAcentral.
GAGUUUGAUCCUGGCUCAGAUUGAACGCUGGCGGCAGGCCUAACACAUGCAAGUCGAGCGGUAAGAGAGCUUGCUCUCGACGAGCGGCGGACGGGUGAGUAAUGUCUGGGAAACUGCCUGAUGGAGGGGGAUAACUACUGGAACCGGUAGCUAAUACCGCAUAAUGUCGCAAGACCAAAGUGGUUCGUCAUGCCAUCAGAUGUGCCCAGAUGGGAUUAGCUAGUAGGUGGGGUAACGGCUCACCUAGGCGACGAUCCCUAGCUGGUCUGAGAGGAUGACCAGCCACACUGGAACUGAGACACGGUCCAGACUCCUACGGGAGGCAGCAGUGGGGAAUAUUGCACAAUGGGCGCAAGCCUGAUGCAGCCAUGCCGCGUGUGUGAAGAAGGCCUUCGGGUUGUAAAGCACUUUCAGCGGGGAGGAAGGCGAUAAGUAAUCUUGUCGAUUGACGUUACCCGCAGAAGAAGCACCGGCUAACUCCGUGCCAGCAGCCGCGGUAAUACGGAGGGUGCAAGCGUUAAUCGGAAUUACUGGGCGUAAAGCGCACGCAGGCGGUCUGUCAAGUCGGAUGUGAAAUCCCCGGGCUCAACCUGGGAACUGCAUUCGAAACUGGCAGGCUAGAGUCUUGUAGAGGGGGGUAGAAUUCCAGGUGUAGCGGUGAAAUGCGUAGAGAUCUGGAGAAAUACCGGUGGCGAAGGCGGCCCCCUGGACAAGACUGACGCUCAGGUGCGAAAGCGUGGGGAGCAAACAGGAUUAGAUACCCUGGUAGUCCACGCUGUAAACGAUGUCGACUUGGAGGUUGUGCCCUUGAGGCGUGGCUUCCGGAGCUAACGCGUUAAGUCGACCGCCUGGGGAGUACGGCCGCAAGGUUAAAACUCAAAUGAAUUGACGGGGGCCCGCACAAGCGGUGGAGCAUGUGGUUUAAUUCGAUGCAACGCGAAGAACCUUACCUACUCUUGACAUCCAGAGAAUUUAGCAGAGAUGCUUUAGUGCCUUCGGGAACUCUGAGACAGGUGCUGCAUGGCUGUCGUCAGCUCGUGUUGUGAAAUGUUGGGUUAAGUCCCGCAACGAGCGCAACCCUUAUCCUUUGUUGCCAGCGCGUAAUGGUGGGAACUCAAAGGAGACUGCCGGUGAUAAACCGGAGGAAGGUGGGGAUGACGUCAAGUCAUCAUGGCCCUUACGAGUAGGGCUACACACGUGCUACAAUGGCAUAUACAAAGAGAAGCGAACUCGCGAGAGCAAGCGGACCUCAUAAAGUAUGUCGUAGUCCGGAUUGGAGUCUGCAACUCGACUCCAUGAAGUCGGAAUCGCUAGUAAUCGUAGAUCAGAAUGCUACGGUGAAUACGUUCCCGGGCCUUGCACUCACUGCCCGUCAA